GAGAUGAUACAUUACCAGGUGACAGCA
This 27-nucleotide small RNA is filed under the name Bombyx mori (domestic silkworm). Its description in RNAcentral is "ovarian small RNA-15729". Lineage: Eukaryota; Metazoa; Arthropoda; Insecta; Lepidoptera; Bombycidae. The record is from RNAcentral.